AUAGCAUGUCAGAAGGCAGACCCGGAGAACUGAAACAUCUUAGUACCCGGAGGAAGAGAAAGAAAAAUCGAUUCCCUGAGUAGCGGCGAGCGAAACGGGAAGAGCCCAAACCAACAAGCUUGCUUGUUGGGGUUGUAGGACACUCUAUACGGAGUUACAAAAGAACAUGUUAGACGAAUCAUCUGGAAAGAUGAAUCAAAGAAGGUAAUAAUCCUGUAGUCGAAAACAUAUUCUCUCUUGAGUGGAUCCUGAGUACGACGGAGCACGUGAAAUUCCGUCGGAAUCUGGGAGGACCAUCUCCUAAGGCUAAAUACUCUCUAGUGACCGAUAGUGAACCAGUACCGUGAGGGAAAGGUGAAAAGUACCCCGGAAGGGGAGUGAAAGAGAACUUGAAACCGUGUGCUUACAAGUAGUCAGAGCCCGUUAAUGGGUGAUGGCGUGCCUUUUGUAGAAUGAACCGGCGAGUUACGAUCUGAUGCAAGGUUAAGCAGCAAAUGUGGAGCCGCAGCGAAAGCGAGUCUGAAUAGGGCGUUGAGUAUUUGGUCGUAGACCCGAAACCAGGUGAUCUACCCUUGGUCAGGUUGAAGUUCAGGUAACACUGAAUGGAGGACCGAACCGACUUACGUUGAAAAGUGAGCGGAUGAACUGAGGGUAGCGGAGAAAUUCCAAUCGAACUUGGAGAUAGCUGGUUCUCUCCGAAAUAGCUUUAGGGCUAGCCUCAAGUGAUGAUUAUUGGAGGUAGAGCACUGUUUGGACGAGGGGCCCCUCUCGGGUUACCGAAUUCAGACAAACUCCGAAUGCCAAUUAAUUUAACUUGGGAGUCAGAACAUGGGUGAUAAGGUCCGUGUUCGAAAGGGAAACAGCCCAGACCACCAGCUAAGGUCCCAAAAUAUAUGUUAAGUGGAAAAGGAUGUGGCGUUGCCCAGACAACUAGGAUGUUGGCUUAGAAGCAGCCAUCAUUUAAAGAGUGCGUAAUAGCUCACUAGUCGAGUGACACUGCGCCGAAAAUGUACCGGGGCUAAACAUAUUACCGAAGCUGUGGAUUGUCCUUUGGACAAUGGUAGGAGAGCGUUCUAAGGGCGUCGAAGCAUGAUCGCAAGGACAUGUGGAGCGCUUAGAAGUGAGAAUGCCGGUGUGAGUAGCGAAAGACGGGUGAGAAUCCCGUCCACCGAUUGACUAAGGUUUCCAGAGGAAGGCUCGUCCGCUCUGGGUUAGUCGGGUCCUAAGCUGAGGCCGACAGGCGUAGGCGAUGGAUAACAGGUUGAUAUUCCUGUACCACCUAGUAUCGUUUUAAUCGAUGGGGGGACGCAGUAGGAUAGGCGAAGCGUGCUGUUGGAGUGCACGUCCAAGCAGUAAGGCUGAGUGUUAGGCAAAUCCGGCACUCAUAAGGCUGAGCUGUGAUGGGGAGAGGAAAUUGUUUCCUCGAGUCGUUGAUUUCACACUGCCGAGAAAAG
Molecule: ribosomal RNA, 1454 nt
Filed under: Staphylococcus epidermidis
Lineage: Bacteria; Bacillati; Bacillota; Bacilli; Caryophanales; Staphylococcaceae
Description: partial 23S ribosomal RNA
Rfam family: Bacterial large subunit ribosomal RNA
Source: RNAcentral